Molecule: ribosomal RNA, 434 nt
Filed under: uncultured bacterium
Lineage: Bacteria
Description: partial 16S ribosomal RNA
Rfam family: Bacterial small subunit ribosomal RNA
Source: RNAcentral
GAUGAACGCUGGCGGUAUGCUUAACACAUGCAAGUCGAACGGACUCUUCGGAGUUAGUGGCGGACGGGUGAGUAACGCGUGAGAAUCUGGCUUUGGGUUCGGGACAACCACUGGAAACGGUGGCUAAUACCGGAUGUGCCGAGAGGUAAAAGAGAAAUUGCCUGAAGAUGAGCUCGCGUCUGAUUAGCUAGUUGGUGAGGUAAAGGCUCACCAAGGCAGCGAUCAGUAGCUGGUCUGAGAGGAUGACCAGCCACACUGGGACUGAGACACGGCCCAGACUCCUACGGGAGGCAGCAGUGGGGAAUUUGCCGCAAUGGGCGAAAGCCUGACGGAGCAAUACCGCGUGAGGGAAGAAGGCUCUUGGGUUGUAAACCUCUUUUCUUAGGGAAGAACAAAAUGACGGUACCUAAGGAAUCAGCAUCGGCUAACUCCGU